Molecule: ribosomal RNA, 415 nt
Filed under: uncultured bacterium
Lineage: Bacteria
Description: bacterial SSU rRNA
Rfam family: Bacterial small subunit ribosomal RNA
Source: RNAcentral
UCGGGAAUAUUGCGCAAUGGGGGAAACUCUGACGCAGUGACGCCGCGUGCAGGAAGAAGGUUUUCGGAUUGUAAACUGCUUUAGACAGGGAAGAACAAAGACAGUACCUGUAGAAUAAGCUCCGGCUAACUACGUGCCAGCAGCCGCGGUAAUACGUAGGGAGCAAGCGUUAUCCGGAUUUAUUGGGUGUAAAGGGUGCGUAGACGGGAAAACAAGUUAGUUGUGAAAUCCCUCGGCUUAACUGAGGAACUGCAACUAAAACUAUUUUUCUUGAGUGUUGGAGAGGAAAGUGGAAUUCCUAGUGUAGCGGUGAAAUGCGUAGAUAUUAGGAGGAACACCAGUGGCGAAGGCGACUUUCUGGACAAUAACUGACGUUGAGGCACGAAAGUGUGGGGAGCAAACAGGAUUAGAUACC